This is a long non-coding RNA of Panthera uncia (snow leopard), 1149 nucleotides long. RefSeq lists it as uncharacterized. The transcript is spliced from 3 exons. The record is from RefSeq and is a predicted model, not a curated record. Lineage: Eukaryota; Metazoa; Chordata; Mammalia; Carnivora; Felidae.
GUGUGCUACUGCCAUCUAGCAUGUAGGGUCCGGGGAUGCGGCUAAGCAUUCUAUGAUGACUCUUGCAGCGACAGUCUCCCACAGCCAAAUGUCAGCAAUGCCAAGGCAGGAAAACCUAGGGAGAUGUUUAGAACCGUGUAGAAGUUGACUGCUAAAGCAGGGCAAAUGUCAGGGGUCAAAAGCCAGAAGCCAAGGAAGUCAAAUGUCAGAGGCGUAGGAGAGUGGUAAACACCAGGUCAUUGGAUAAGCAAAGAAACAACGUCAAGAGUGCUGAGGUUGAGGAACUUGCUCUGGACAAUGAGCAACGUAAUCACACCACAAUGCCAGAAGAGAAUAAAAUGCCGUCCAAAUACAAGGUGCAGCAUCUAAUCUAGAAUCAGGGGUGCAAAGGUGCCCUCGGAAGUGACAUCUAAUUAAAAACCUGAAAACCAGAUGAGUUUGAAAGGGAUGUGAAGACGAAGGCAGGGUAAAGGGGCCAUUCCAGACAGAAGGCACAGCCGGCGGGCAAGCGGGACUACGGAACGGAGGAACACAUCUGUACGGCGGAAAGUGGGAGGGGCUCCGGGGCUGGAGAGGCGGCCGCCCUAUCAUAACCGGCUUGUGUGAUGGCUUAAGAAACACAGACGUUAUCUUUAAGGCAGUAAGAAGCCACCGAAAGAAUUUACACAGAGGAGUGACACGAACAAGCUUGUCUUAGGACAAAGGACUGCUAAGAAACUGAGUGGGAGGGAGCUCCUGACAUCCAGACGACGGUCGUGGCCUAACGCUGCCCCUUGGAACGGAGGGGAGGCAUUCAAGAGACGCUCAGGGAACAGCUGAUGGCGUGGAAGGAAGUCCAAAGACUUCAAGAGCAGAGGACAGCUCUUGAGUAGAUCCCUAAGGCCAAGCACUGCUGGACACAGUCCGAAAACAGAGAGAAUUCUGUCCCCGACGCCCGCAGGUUAGUUCAUUUCAGGUGGACUCCCAACGCUCCUCAGUAAACCCUUUACUCACCGCUGCUUAAUGCCAACGCCAGAGCCCGCAGCACGUGAGGAUCCCUGCUUUCUUUAGGCUCCCGGCAACACCCCUUCACCCUGAGCAGCUGAACGUGGCUUCCGUUUUAUCGAGGGCAAAGGUCACUUGAUGUGAGUGAGCUUCUUCACAACUUCC